UGGUUGUUAUAAUGAUGAUGUUUUCAUGGUGUUGGGAGUAAGACUUGGAUGUCUAAUAUUGUUAACAUGUUGGUUAGCAUCAGGUUUCCAUUGGGUUACUUGCUGGGAUAAAGCUGUUAUAAGUCGAAAGAGUUGCUGUUGCUGCCUUCCUUGUAUGGUAAAAUCCUCAGACUACAAUCCUGCAAACCAUUGGAUGAACUGUUGCUAUCUUUUGUAAAAAAAAUCAGCAGAUAUUUGUCUUAUAAGCAGAAUGAAUUAUAAAUGCAAUUAAUUUUUAAUGCUUUAUUAUUCAAAUUAUAAAUAUUUAUUUCAUAAUUUUUUCUUGCAUUCAAUUAUUGUUUUGUGAUUGAAGAAAUAUAAAAAAAAAACUGUGAAAUUAUUGUUAUUUGAGAGGUCCCAAAGGUAUGAUGUAUGGUUUCACAAGAUACCCAUAAGACUUGCUUCAGUUUAAAUAUAUUUUUUUAAGUUAUGUACACUGGUUAAGAAUUAUAAGUCCUCUGUGAAAUGAUUUUUUCUGGUUAGAAACCUAUUAAGUAGGACUUUGAUGGCCAAACACUAAAAGGGAAUAAAACAAAUCCCCUAUU
Long non-coding RNA from Mytilus californianus (California mussel), 584 nucleotides. RefSeq lists it as uncharacterized. The transcript is spliced from 3 exons. NCBI's taxonomy places the organism in Eukaryota, Metazoa, Mollusca, Bivalvia, Mytilida, Mytilidae. The record is from RefSeq and is a predicted model, not a curated record.